This 652-nucleotide ribosomal RNA is filed under the name uncultured archaeon. RNAcentral's name for it is "bacterial SSU rRNA". It matches the Rfam family "Archaeal small subunit ribosomal RNA", at positions 768 to 1448 of the family's 1478-position model. The record is from RNAcentral.
UAAACAUUAGUACCUCCUCGAGAGGUAUUAGUGCUGAAGGGAAGCCGGAGAGUGUGCUACCUGGGAAGUAUAGUCGCAAGACCGAAACUUAAAGGAAUUGGCGGGGAGACACUACAACGGGUGGCGCGUGCAGUUCAAUUAGAUUCUACACCGUGAACCUUACCAGGAGCGACAGCAGAAUGAAGGUCAGUCUAAAGGGCUUACCUGACACGCUGAGAGGAGUUGCAUGGCCGUCGUCAGCCUGUGUCGUGAGAUGACCUGUUAAAUCAGGUAACAGGCAAGACCCACGUGUAUAUUUACUACGUGUACAAUAUACAGAUUGCCUUGGUAACAAGGAUGAAAGUUUGGGCUACGUUAGGUGGGUACAGCCCGAAUCCCCUGGGCUACAUGCGCGCGUCAAAGCUAGAUACAACGAGAUGCGACACCGAAAGGUGAAGCCAAUCUCCUAAAGUCUGGCCUAGUUCAAAUUGAGGUUUGUAACCCAGCCUCAUGACGAUGGAAUCCGUAGUAAUCGUUUGUUAUCAGCGAACGGUGAAUACGCCACUGUCUCUUGCACACACUGCCCGUCAAACCAACUGAGUUAUAUUAGGAUGAAACUUUUCGGAGGAGAAUUUUGAUAUGACAAGGCAGGUUAAGUCGUAACAAGGUAGCC